GAUGAACGCUGGCGGCGUGCCUAAUACAUGCAAGUCGAACGAACGGACGAUAAGAUCGCUCCUCUAAGGUUAGCGGCGGACGGGCGAGUAAGACGUGGAUAAGCAACCUAUAAGACGGGGGUAACUUCGGGAAACAGUAUAUAAUACUAGAGAAUAUUUUGAACCGCAGGGAGCAAAAGAGAAAGAGACCCUGGCUGUCAGAUAGAGCUGGAUCCGCUCUCCGUUUGCUAGUUGGUAAGGUAACGGCUUACCAAGGCAACGAUGCGUAGCCGGCCUGAGAGGGUGAUCAGCCACACUGGAACUGAGACACGGUCCAGACUCCUACGGGAGGCAGCAGUAGGGAAUAUUCGACAAUGGGCGCAAGCCUGACGGAGCCAUGCCGCGUGAGUGAUGAAGGCCCUCGGGUUGUAAAGCUCUUUUAUUAGGGAAGAAAAUCUGUGUAAUUAUAUGCCGCCGUUUUGACGGUACCUAAUGAGUAAGCACCGGCUAACUUCGUG
Molecule: ribosomal RNA, 497 nt
Filed under: uncultured bacterium
Lineage: Bacteria
Description: partial 16S ribosomal RNA
Rfam family: Bacterial small subunit ribosomal RNA
Source: RNAcentral